AACGAACGCUGGCGGCAGGCCUAACACAUGCAAGCCGAACGAACCGUUUACGGUGAGUGGCGCACGGGUGAGUAACACGUGGGAAUAUACAUUUCGGUAAGGAAUAACGUAGAGAAAUUUACGCUAAUACCUUAUAAUGACUACGGUCCAAAGAUUUAUCGCCGAAGGAUUAGCCCGCGUUAGAUUAGGUAGUUGGUAGGGUAAUGGCCUACCAAGCCUACGAUCUAUAGCUGGUCUUAGAGGAUGAUCAGCCACACUGGAACUGAGACACGGUCCAGACUCCUACGGGAGGCAGCCGUGAGGAAUAUUGCGCAAUGGGGGAAACCCUGACGCAGCCAUGCCGCGUGAGUGACGAAGGCCCUAGGGUUGUAAAGCUCUUUCAGAUGUAAAGAUAAUGACGGUAACAUCAGAAGAAGCUCCGGCUAAAUUCGUGCCAGCAGCCGCCGUAA
This 449-nucleotide ribosomal RNA is filed under the name uncultured bacterium. RNAcentral describes it as "partial 16S ribosomal RNA". It matches the Rfam family "Bacterial small subunit ribosomal RNA", at positions 29 to 523 of the family's 1533-position model. The record is from RNAcentral.